This 292-nucleotide non-coding RNA is filed under the name Anaerobium acetethylicum. RNAcentral's name for it is "T-box sequence". It matches the Rfam family "T-box leader". Rfam says of the family: Uncharged tRNA acts as the effector for transcription antitermination of genes in the T-box leader family. The record is from RNAcentral. Lineage: Bacteria; Bacillati; Bacillota; Clostridia; Lachnospirales; Lachnospiraceae.
AUAAAAUCAAUGAACAAAAGGAGUACCUGCAGAGGGUAUGCUACAGAGAACCGGGAUGGUGUGAACCGGUGCAGAGAGCUGCUGGGAAUGGAUUUGGGAGAUGCAGGGCGAAUUAUAGUAGCCUGAGCCGUGACCUCACGUUACAGGGGAAUGAUAUCGAAAAACUCGGUUUUUCCGUAUCACAAAAGUCAGAACAAUUGGUGGCAGAGUAUUUUCCGAUUUAAGGGAAGUACUUUUUUUAUAUCAUUUUUUCUGUGAAUAUGGGUGGCACCACGAUAACAUCGUCCCUGGC